Molecule: non-coding RNA, 65 nt
Organism: Cricetulus griseus (Chinese hamster)
Lineage: Eukaryota; Metazoa; Chordata; Mammalia; Rodentia; Cricetidae
Source: Rfam
GUGGUACUCAAACUAUGGGGCACUUUUUGCUCUGGAAUAAAGUGCUGCUAGGUUUUGAGCAUUAC